AGUGAACGCUGGCGGUAGGCCUAACACAUGCGAGUCGAACGGCAGCACAGUAAGAGCUUGCUCUUACGGGUGGCGAGUGGCGGACGGGUGAGGAAUACAUCGGAAUCUACUUUUUCGUGGGGGAUAACGUAGGGAAACUUACGCUAAUACCGCAUACGACCUACGGGUGAAAGCAGGGGAUCUUCGGACCUUGCGCGAUUGAAUGAGCCGAUGUCGGAUUAGCUAGUGGCGGGGUAAAGGCCCACCAAGGCGACGAUCCGUAGCUGGUCUGAGAGGAUGAUCAGCCACACUGGAACUGAGACACGGUCCAGACUCCUACGGGAGGCAGCAGUGGGGAAUAUUGGACAAUGGGCGCAAGCCUGAUCCAGCCAUACCGCGUGGGUGAAGAAGGCCUUCGGGUUGUAAAGCCCUUUUGUUGGGAAAGAAAAGCAGCAGGUUAAUACCCCGCUGUUCUGACGGUACCCAAAGAAUAAGCACCGGCUAACUUCGUG
Molecule: ribosomal RNA, 491 nt
Filed under: uncultured bacterium
Lineage: Bacteria
Description: partial 16S ribosomal RNA
Rfam family: Bacterial small subunit ribosomal RNA
Source: RNAcentral